GGUAGGACUACCCGCUGAACUUAAGCAUAUCAAUAAGCGGAGGAAAGGGC
RNAcentral lists this ribosomal RNA (50 nucleotides) under Trametes coccinea. RNAcentral's name for it is "partial 28S ribosomal RNA". The record is from RNAcentral. Lineage: Eukaryota; Fungi; Basidiomycota; Agaricomycetes; Polyporales; Polyporaceae.